GGGAGCUUGCUCCCGGAUGUUAGCGGCGGACGGGUGAGUAACACGUGGGUAACCUGCCUGUAAGACUGGGAUAACUCCGGGAAACCGGAGCUAAUACCGGAUAGUUCCUUGAACCGCAUGGUUCAAGGAUGAAAGACGGUUUCGGCUGUCACUUACAGAUGGACCCGCGGCGCAUUAGCUAGUUGGUGAGGUAACGGCUCACCAAGGCGACGAUGCGUAGCCGACCUGAGAGGGUGAUCGGCCACACUGGGACUGAGACACGGCCCAGACUCCUACGGGAGGCAGCAGUAGGGAAUCUUCCGCAAUGGACGAAAGUCUGACGGAGCAACGCCGCGUGAGUGAUGAAGGUUUUCGGAUCGUAAAGCUCUGUUGUUAGGGAAGAACAAGUGCAAGAGUAACUGCUUGCACCUUGACGGUACCUAACCAGAAAGCCACGGCUAACUACGUGCCAGCAGCCGCGGUAAUACGUAGGUGGCAAGCGUUGUCCGGAAUUAUUGGGCGUAAAGGGCUCGCAGGCGGUUUCUUAAGUCUGAUGUGAAAGCCCCCGGCUCAACCGGGGAGGGUCAUUGGAAACUGGGAAACUUGAGUGCAGAAGAGGAGAGUGGAAUUCCACGUGUAGCGGUGAAAUGCGUAGAGAUGUGGAGGAACACCAGUGGCGAAGGCGACUCUCUGGUCUGUAACUGACGCUGAGGAGCGAAAGCGUGGGGAGCGAACAGGAUUAGAUACCCUGGUAGUCCACGCCGUAAACGAUGAGUGCUAAGUGUUAGGGGGUUUCCGCCCCUUAGUGCUGCAGCUAACGCAUUAAG
Molecule: ribosomal RNA, 806 nt
Filed under: Bacillus altitudinis
Lineage: Bacteria; Bacillati; Bacillota; Bacilli; Caryophanales; Bacillaceae
Description: bacterial SSU rRNA
Rfam family: Bacterial small subunit ribosomal RNA
Source: RNAcentral